This is a long non-coding RNA of Trifolium pratense (red clover), 454 nucleotides long. RefSeq lists it as uncharacterized. Lineage: Eukaryota; Viridiplantae; Streptophyta; Magnoliopsida; Fabales; Fabaceae. The transcript has 3 exons. The record is from RefSeq and is a predicted model, not a curated record.
GGCUAGGGUUUUAACAAGGAAAGAUUGGGAAGCAUUUUGAAACAUCAGCCGCCAACCAAAACCAUCAUAUUACAAGGCUUUGCUUCUACUCUUACAAAGAUGAAUGUGAUUCAUGGAGAAAAUGUUGAACCACCAAGAUUUUGGGAGAUGGUUACCACUGCUAACCAUGUUCAGGGCAGAGCAGUUUUGCAUUUCCCCCGAACAAUCGUGUCUAACUAUUUGCUACCUCAGCAACGACAGAUUCUUCUGAUUUUGGAUAACUCAAACAUUUCUGUGAAUUGCAUGAUUAAUACAUCACCAAGAAAUAUGAAUGAGAAGUAUAUAACUCAAGGGUGGAUUGCAUUUGUCAAACAAGCUAAUAUCAACAUUGGUUCCAGGCUUAGGAUUACUCUUUUAGAUCCACCACAAAUUUUGAAGGUUCGAAUCAUCGACCAACAUGAGUAACUCUAUUUAU